CUAACAAGGAUUCCCCCAGUAACGGCGAGUGAAGCGGGAUGAGCUCAAAUUUGAAAUCUCCGGUGCUUGCACCGGCGAGUUGUAGUUGCGAGAAGCACUUUCUAGGCGGAUCGGCGGCGCCUAAGUUGCUUGGAACAGCAUGUCGCAGAGGGUGACAACCCCGUCUGUGGCGCGGCCGGCCGCUGACGAUGUGCUUUCGAAGAGUCGGGUUGUUUGGGAAUGCAGCCCAAAAUGGGUGGUAAACUCCAUCUAAAGCUAAAUAUUGGCGUGAGACCGAUAGCGAAGGAAACGAAUGGACUCAGCAAUGCGCCGUUUGAGAUUCAGCCGGUGGGUGGGAUCGGCUCGGGGUUUGCGGAUCUGAAUGGACCGCGGCCUUGGGCUCGUUUCUCCUCGCCGUCGCACUUCUCUUGGGCGCGCGUCAACGUCGGUUGGGACUGGGUCUGAAAGGUGCCGGGAAGGUAGGUCUGGACCUCCGGGUCCGGUCUGUUACAGCCCGGUUCUCUCAUGGCUCGGGCCCGACCGAGGAGUGGCAGCGCAUGCCUCUUGUGGCUAGGGUGCCGUCCUUCCGGCCGGUUGUCGAAUGCGGUGGACUGCUUGCAGUGCUCCGCGACCGCUGCCGGUCGUUGGGGUGGUGAUCU
RNAcentral lists this ribosomal RNA (638 nucleotides) under Eusmilia fastigiata. RNAcentral's name for it is "eukaryotic LSU rRNA". The stretch from base 1 to 291 matches the Rfam family "Eukaryotic large subunit ribosomal RNA", at positions 65 to 358 of the family's 3401-position model. Lineage: Eukaryota; Metazoa; Cnidaria; Anthozoa; Scleractinia; Meandrinidae. The record is from RNAcentral.